Molecule: long non-coding RNA, 4828 nt
Organism: Acanthochromis polyacanthus (spiny chromis)
Lineage: Eukaryota; Metazoa; Chordata; Actinopteri; Pomacentridae
Exons: 2
Source: RefSeq, a predicted model, not a curated record
AAUAAAAAUUGACAAAAGGUCAUAACAGUCGAACACAAACAAUCUGCUUCUCUCCUCUAUAAAUCUUAGUGCAAGUCCGGUUGCAAGCUAUCUCUUAUAUGAGAAUGUACACACAAUUAAAAUGUAGGUGUUGAAACUGCAUGGUCCAAUCAUUCAUCUGUCUGAGGGUCUGCUAAAUCUUGGUCUUUGACAUAGUUCACAAAGGGUCCCCAAAUGUUCUCAAAGACCUGCUGUUUGCCUUUCAUGAUGUAGGUUAUUCUUUCUACUGGGAGAUUUGAGAGCAUCUGUUUCAACCACUGGCCAAUACUUGGUCUACUCAUUGAUUUCCACAUUAAUGCAAUACACUUCUUGGCAGUGAGCAAACUGAGGUCUAUAAAAGCUCUUUCAUGUUUUUUAUACCUGGAAUUUUUUGGAUAUAGUCCCAGGAGGAAAAAUUUUGGGUUUAUUGGAAUUUGCUUUGAAAUAAUUUUUUCAAUUGUCUUCGUCACCUCUUCCCAAAAUUGACUUAUUUUUCUACAUUGCCAGAUACAGUGGAAAAAAGAUCCCUUCGAAUCAGUGCAUUUUGUGCAGUUGUCUGGAAUGUUUUUGUUGUAUUUGUUUAAUUCAACUGGAGUGAUGUAGUUCCUCAUUAACCAUAGUGAAUUAAUUUAUAGCGUGAGUUUAUGGAUUUUGUGUGUGCUUCAGCACAAGCUUGACUCCAGUCCUCCUCAGAAAUUUCCAGUCGCAAGUUUUCUGACCAAGCCUUCGGCUUAUAAUAUGAGUUUUCAGAUGAUGAAGAUGUUACCCAAUUAUAAAUUUCCGAGAUGAGACCUUUUCUCUGACUGUUUUUUAGCAUAAUUUUUUCUAAUGAAGUUUGUUGGGGUUUUCUAUGUUCAUUAUUCUGACUAGUUCUAAUAAAGUUUCUAAUCUGGAGGUAUUUGAAAAAGUGAUUUUUGCUAAGGUUAUAAGUGGCAGUAAGCUGCUCAAAGGUCAUCAAAAUAUCUGAGUCUGGUGGGUAAAGAUUUUGAAUUGUUUUAAUGCCCUUACAGCUCCAUUGCUUGAAUCCUGAGUCGGCUCUUCCAGGAGGAAAGAGCUGAUUCCCCCAUAUGGGACUAAACUGAGUUAGUCUUUGUGUUUCUUUUAAAUACUUUUUAACAUCAAACCAGACCUUUAUCAUAUGUUUUAAAAUGGGAUUUUUGGUUUGUUUUCGUAAUCUUUUUGCUGUAUCUGAAUGAAUAUAUAAGGGUAGAGGCAAUUGCAGACCAUAAUUAUAAUUGACUCAUUUUGUACAUUUUCUCUGUUACAAAAACAGGUAUUCUUGCUUUUGUUUAUUAUUUCAACCAAACUUUUUUGCAUAAAAAAUAAAUGAACAAAACUCUGCACAUGAACCCACAGAACCAGAACAGAAACAGAACCAGACUCAGUAUUCAAACAGUAUAAAUGUCCUCAGAGCAGGUUGACAUUUAGAAAAAUCAGAUGGCUGAGCUUGGAUGGGCUGAUACCAUUUCUUCUUUCAGUGAAUAUCUGCCGUGUUUUUGAGAAGAUUCUCUCAGAUGGAAGAAGUUGUCUCUCCUCCAUCACCUUCACCAGGUGGGGCAGACUGAGGCCUUGUCCUGCUCCAGCUCAGUGGGUCAUCUGCUGGUUGGAUGAGGGGUUCCUCUAGAUAUGAUCCUCCAUUACCACAUCAGCUGUAGGAUUUCUCCUGAAUCAUCUCCUGUAGCUCUUCCAUCAAAGAGGCUCCACGCAGCAGAAGUUUGAGGUUCCUCCUCCACUUGGUCCUCUAAUGGUGGAGGUGUCAGACUGCUGCUGCUGCUAUUAUUCUCUGAAGUGUCUCAUCAACAGCUCUGUCGUCAUUGAAGGCAAGCUUCUUUAAUCUAGGAUCCAGUAACAUGUUUUCUGCUAGGACAGUGUUAAACUCCAUACUCCAUUAAAUACGUUAGGAGUCGGCUCUUCAGAUUCACUACAAAGCAUCGGCUCUGAGAGUUGUAUCUUUUGUGCCUUAUACAUCUCUAGAGGACAGACUGUGGUCACAUGCUGACCAUGUUUGGCUCAGCAAACAGCUGUAAGGCAGCUUUCUCAACUAUGAACAUAAUCAAAAUAUGUUUUGAGAACGGCUCAAACAAGCAGCAGCUCAGCUCUCCCAUUAAGCCGCAGAGAUAUUAGGGGAGUGAUAUGAGACAGACAAAAAUGUGAAAGUGUUCAAAUGUUUACAUUUAUGAGAUUUAUGUAUUGUUAAAGAUGUAUAGAAGUUAAUUCAGGUUGUUCAGUCAUGCUUUUUUAAGUUCUGCACUUUAUUUUAAGAUAUACAGUUAUAUAUAAGUUAUUUAUUAAUAAAUGUCAAAAUAUUUUUGAACCGUACUGAAUUUAUUUGACGGUCAGUUUUUGAUUACAGGCAGACUCUAAUAAAACUACCAGGUUACAUCAGCAUAUAUCACAGUAACUCAAGUUAGACAAUAUUAUGUUCUGGACCUUUGCUGACUGGACCUCUCUGAAUUUUAGCUGAAUACCCCUGGCUUUGAAGAAGAGGGACAUGAGUCUAACUGUCAGGGCCCUCUCCUCAUUCCCUCCCCACCUGGCAUCCCAAACAAAACCCCCUCCCUUAUACUUUUCCUCCCUGUCUUGCCUCGGCUGAAUCCCAAACCGCCCCCUACACACUCCCCCUCCACUACCGAGUGUCACUCCAAAAGAAGUCACACUCGCAGCUGUGGAGGGCACCUAUUAUUGAAGGGGGAGGGUAUAAAUACGAUCGUCAGGAAUGGGAUGCCCUGUCGCCUCACCGGAGAACGGAAGACGUCAUCGCCAUGGUAACACAAAGACGCCUACUGUCAUGGCUGUAGGGCUGUGGCACAGGUUGCAAUUAACAAGGAUCGCUGCAGCUUCCAGAAGACGAAAGCAUCCCACUUGUUUUUCACUCACAUUUUUUCCAAUCCUAUUAUCUGGCAUUUCAAAUCCAACAAAUGAAUGAAUAAAUGAAUUCUGUCAGUUGUGUUCAAAUUUUAAGGUGUCAGGGGGUGCACAGUUAAAUCAAACGUCAGCAGAGAAGAUUUGUUUCUUUUGAUUUAUCUUUUUACACCACUCUUUUUGUGAUGUUCUGUCAGUGUGAAAAAGGCGUGGGAGAAAUAAAGGACGCAUGUGGAACUCACAUCAAUAUGUUUGUUUCCUCCUCCAUUUCGACGUUGCACUUCCUGAAAAAGUUGUCCAGAGUGAGCAUCGAUGCAGACUCGUUAUUUAAGGGCUGAACAGUCCACUCCCCCUCCGCACUACGCGGUUUGGGACGGCCCUUAAUAUGGAGGACCCUCCGCGGGAACGCGCAAACGGAGGGGUAGGUGUGUAGGGAUAGUGUGUAGGGGGCGGUUUGGGAUUCAGCCCUCCUGUCUCACAUCCAUCCCUUUUCCUCUGCUUUCCAUCACAGCACGGCACCUGAGUGGAGUUCGGCUUCACAGCCGUCUCCACUCAGGUGAUCAACCUGCUCCACGAGUCCCGGGCAGCUGGAAGAAAUCAUCCUGAUUACUCACCAAGCAAUAAACCCAGCUGCCCGGGAACUUACCCACCCGAAACCCUCACCUGAACCCUCCAACCCAUUCGGCACCGGUCCCCUCCCCACUCGGAUCCCCCAUUCCGCCCGGACCCCCUCCUGGAACCCCCGACCCAUUUCCCUCCCGGCCGCUGGAGCUGCAGCAGCCAACCGGCUGCUCCCUGCCUCCCGGAGCCCCUCCCGGAACAUCACCGGCGAGACGCCGUCUCUGCCCGGCCCGUCCAACACCUCGGCCCCUCGGAUCGUCAGAAUGCUAGGUCUCGUUCCCUCCGAACCCCUCCUCCUCCAUCGAACUCUGAGCCCUUUGACGACUGGCCGCCAGGGAUCCCCCACAGCCAUCUGCGACGCUCCGGUCCCGCCCGGACCUUGGACAACCGCCGAUCCCCGUCCCCAGACCCACCCGGCCGCAUCCUCCCUCCACCAGCAUCCCUGUUCCUGCAUCCAGGUGUUGUGACAUUUUCACACUCCCCGGAAAAAUCUGACUUCCCCUUCGCGUGAACGCGCGCGACUUACGUUUCACUCUGUGGCCACUUGACUGUUUUUGUUGUUUUCGGGUUAAAUGUGACGAAGUCCCGAACUGCAGACAUGUUUUCCUGUUAAAUAUGAUUAGCUGACAUGUUUUUCGUCCUCUUCUCAUCCGUAUGUGCGCACCCACCCUAAAUGGCAUCGGGAGAGAUUCUGCGCUACUCUCAGCUUCACUCCUAUGAGGACAUCAGGACAGGACAGGGUGUAAUCGCCAAAUAUUGUUUAUAUUCCAUCAGUGUUCUACACGUGCCAAUAAAAUUGUUCACUGAGAAAACUUUAUAUCUCCUUAUUUAAAAUCGGACUCCCCUAAGAAUGCAAGGUAUGGCAUCAAAAUGUCUGGUAUUUAUGUAUAAAGUCUUUAAUAUAAGUAUAGUUCUUAAGUAUAAAGUCAUUUGUUAUUGUUGGUAUUUUUGUUGGGCCAGUUAACAAUAUAAUAGAAUUUAAAUUCUUUAAUCCCACACCUGGGAAACUAUUUGCUACAACAGCUAAAACACCAAAUCACAAGUUAUAAAAAAACAAACAAAAAAAAUAGUAAAUUAGUCUUUAAGGACAGAAUAAUAAAACAAGGGGCUAAAUGAUCACAAUAUGGCAGAUUAAGAACAGAGAGGCUAUUUUAAAACUAGGACUUUAACAGAAAUGUGCAGGUUGAGUUAAAUAUUUUCAUAUUUAUAUAUAGCUAUAUGUGCACUGUGCUUUCUGUGUGCUGCAAUCUUUCUCUUUUUCAAUGUCCUAUUGCUGCUGUACAAUAGUAAUUUCCCUGCUGUGGGAUUAAUAAAGGUUUAAUCUGUC